RNAcentral lists this transfer RNA (66 nucleotides) under Caeparia donskoffi. RNAcentral describes it as "tRNA-Glu". The record is from RNAcentral. Lineage: Eukaryota; Metazoa; Arthropoda; Insecta; Blattodea; Blaberidae.
AUUUAUAUAGUUUAAAAAAACAUUACAUUUUCAAUGUAAAAUUAUUAUAUAAAAUAAUUAUAAACU